RNAcentral lists this ribosomal RNA (460 nucleotides) under uncultured bacterium. RNAcentral's name for it is "partial 16S ribosomal RNA". It matches the Rfam family "Bacterial small subunit ribosomal RNA", at positions 338 to 795 of the family's 1533-position model. The record is from RNAcentral.
CCUACGGGCGGCAGCAGUGAGGAAUAUUGGUCAAUGGACGAGAGUCUGAACCAGCCAAAUAGCGUGAAGGAUGACUGCCCUAUGGGUUGUAAACUUCUUUUAUAUGGGAAUAAAAUGUUCCACGUGUGGGAUUUUGUAUGUACCAUAUGAAUAAGGAUCGGCUAACUCCGUGCCAGCAGCCGCGGUAAUACGGAGGAUCCGAGCGUUAUCCGGAUUUAUUGGGUUUAAAGGGAGCGUAGGUGGAUUGUUAAGUCAGUUGUGAAAGUUUGCGGCUCAACCGUAAAAUUGCAGUUGAAACUGACAGUCUUGAGUACAGUAGAGGUGGGCGGAAUUCGUGGUGUAGCGGUGAAAUGCUUAGAUAUCACGAAGAACUCCGAUUGCGAAGGCAGUUCACUGGACUGCAACUGACACUGAGGCUCGAAAGUGUGGGUAUCAAACAGGAUUAGAUACCCGAGUAGUC